Molecule: transfer RNA, 77 nt
Filed under: Pantoea agglomerans
Lineage: Bacteria; Pseudomonadati; Pseudomonadota; Gammaproteobacteria; Enterobacterales; Erwiniaceae
Description: tRNA-OTHER
Rfam family: tRNA
About the family: Transfer RNA (tRNA) molecules are approximately 80 nucleotides in length. Their secondary structure includes four short double-helical elements and three loops (D, anti-codon, and T loops). Further hydrogen bonds mediate the characteristic L-shaped molecular structure. tRNAs have two regions of fundamental functional importance: the anti-codon, which is responsible for specific mRNA codon recognition, and the 3' end, to which the tRNAs corresponding amino acid is attached (by aminoacyl-tRNA synthetases). tRNAs cope with the degeneracy of the genetic code in two manners: having more than one tRNA (with a specific anti-codon) for a particular amino acid; and 'wobble' base-pairing, i.e. permitting non-standard base-pairing at the 3rd anti-codon position.
Source: RNAcentral
AGGCUUGUAGCUCAGGUGGGUUAGAGCGCACCCCGAUAAGGGUGAGGUCGGUGGUUCAAGUCCACUCAGGCCUACCA